CCUACGGGGGGCAGCAGUGAGGAAUAUUGGUCAAUGGGCGCGAGCCUGAACCAGCCAAGUAGCGUGAAGGAUGACUGCCCUACGGGUUGUAAACUUCUUUUAUAAAGGAAUAAAGUGUGGCACGUGUGCCCUUUUGUAUGUACUUUAUGAAUAAGGAUCGGCUAACUCCGUGCCAGCAGCCGCGGUAAUACGGGGGAUCCGAGCGUUAUCCGGAUUUAUUGGGUUUAAAGGGAGCGUAGGUGGGUUGUUAAGUCAGUUGUGAAAGUUUGCGGCUCAACCGUCAAAUUGCAGUUGAUACUGGCAGUCUGGAGUACAGUAGAGGUAGGCGGAAUUCGUGGUGUAGCGGUGAAAUGCUUAGAUAGCACGAAGAACUCCGAUUGCGAAGGCAGCUUACUAGACUGCCACUGACACUGAUGCUCGAAAGUGUGGGUAUCAAACAGGAUUAGAUACCCCGGUAGUC
Molecule: ribosomal RNA, 460 nt
Filed under: uncultured bacterium
Lineage: Bacteria
Description: partial 16S ribosomal RNA
Rfam family: Bacterial small subunit ribosomal RNA
Source: RNAcentral